GAAGGAGGGAGAGAGGGAGAGAAAUGUCACCCGUAGCCCGGGCCCGCGGGGGAGAGGUGGCGCGUUAGAGAUGUGUGUGGGAGAGCGAGAGAGAGAGAGGGAGAGAGAGAAAGAGAAAGAUAGAGAGGGGGAGCGAGACCUCCGCCGGCCCCGCGAACUUGUCAAGCAGAAAACACGAAGCCUUUGGUCUCAAAGAACUUAGACCAUCAUGGCUACGAAAACUACUGCUACUCAGAAAGUAUGUAAUUCUGGAGCUCCUUAGUGACGAAAGUAGUGCAAGGCAACAUCAGAGCAGUUGCCAAGUGAUCUUCUCCACAGCAUGCAUGAACUUCAGCCUGGAACUGAAGAGGACUCAUCAAAUGCCUUAGGAAAGACAGCAUGGAGUUGGAAGAGAAGCAGGGAUCUCCACGAAGGGCAGUCAGUUAUACUCUUGGUGUGUGGAGGAACAGGUCCUGUUCUCGCUGUUGUUACUCCCACAUAGGCAGACUGUAAUUGAUUAUGUGUGGGUAGGGCCCUAUUGAAAUUCAGGAGAUUCUGCAGUAGUGCGGGGUUCUUUUUGUGAAAGUUCAGUUGCAAGAUCAGGACCCCACUGUGACUCCUAACUGUGAAUUCUGUCAGUGUAUCAUUGAUUGUGCUGGAACCUGCCUUUUGGGAUAAUUACCAAAUACUAUAUUCCUCAAAACUUCUUAAUGGCACUGAGGCUUUGUGGAUAGUUGGUCACAUGAGAAAAUUAAGCUGUAAAGGAGAAUCCGUAGAAGAACAAGAGUGAAAACAUUCUUGGAAAGCAAGAUUUAUAAGGCAUGUUUCAAAAGAGUUGUAUUUGUUUAGUCAAGAGCAGACCGGGGAAAAUAAUAUGACAUCUGAAGAUCAUUGUGAAGAAGAUGGUCACCAAUUGUCUUUUGUAUCCAGUUGUGGAAGAACAAGAAAAAAAUUAUCUUAGUUUGCAGUCAAAAAUAACAGGCUACAUAUCUGGAAAAUCUUUCUAAGUACAAGGACAGUUAAAAACUGGAACCAACCUAUCUGUCAUUGAUGCAGCAUCUUCCUCACUGGCAAUUUAGAAUGGAUUAGACAAAAAGUUUCUGUCAUCAAAAUGCUCUUACACCUAUCUUCUUUUAUAACUGUUGGCUCCACGCAAUAAAUAAUCUGGAAUAUUAAGAAGUAAUUUGAAAAAUAAGUUGGAAUGUGGAGAUGAAAUCAGAUAGUCCGAACGCAUGAUAAAUCAUCAUAAAUGCAGUUCAUCAAUAAGGCUAAAGCAUGUUACCUGUUCAUACAAGCAGUGCUAUUGUUCUGCUUACACUGCUUGGUUCUCUGGUCAGGAAGCUGGUCAAUACCCUUUUUUCUUGGCUUCUAAUUCUAUCUAGCACACACUCCUCAGCCCGGUUUUCCACUCAAGUUGGCCAAAGCACAGAGAGUUAUUUUAAUUGCCCAGUUUUUACAAAGAACAUUAAUAACUCAUCUGGGAUGCUUUUGGAUGCUUCUUUGAGUGGUUGUGUAGAUGGAUUUCGUUGCUGGUGUGCAUGUGUCCCUGGACUGCAAGGACAAAUUAUUUGGAUAAGCAGAGUCCAUUAAAUGGUAUCAGCAGACUACUACUUGAAGCACCUUCAUGUCCACUGUCCUCAGGGCAUUAAAUAGCCAUGUCUACUUUACCUGUAGUGCUGACCUAUUGUGAUAGUUGUUUUUAUGACUUGCAUCAAGUGUGAAGCAUUCAAAGCCAUGUGUCAAAGAUGGGACAACCGAAGGAACACAUUUGUGAAGUUACCUGCUCAAAGCCGUAACAGAUGCCAAUGAUAAAUCCAGGAACAGAAGCUAAGUCUCCCAAGUUGUGGCCUAACACCAUCAACAAGCCAAUUGAUCACUGGGAGUCUGAGCUUGAAUGAAGGUGGAAGAAAAUUCCUACAGGGAAUUGGGAGUGGUUUGUCCCUUAAGAAGGAUGUAAUGGCAUUUUUAAUGCUUUCACCAAAUACCAGGACAUGUGAUAAAAGUUCAUGGACUGAGAAUUAAUUGAAAGAUUGUGAAAUGGGAAAGAAUGCACAUUAUGGGAAGCCUUGGAGAGCUACAACCUAAGCUCCCAGAAUAUCACUGGAGUUGAUGGAAACAUCUCCGAUGACUGGGUUUUUUUUAAUAUAAUUUGCCAGCCCCUGUAGCCCUCCCCAGACAGACUGGGGAAAUACAUUCCUUUUAUUAAUAUUAGUCCAGGGGACUCAAGUAUAUUUCAGGCAGUGAAUGAUAUAGUUGAUGGAAUUUGCUACAGAAUUCAAAUAAAAAAAAAAAGACAGUGGAAACUUGUACCUGUGGGUUGGUAUAUGUUUUAAAAACUGUUUUUCUACAGAUAAUGGGCUUAUAUCUAAACUUUGUUAUUUGCAAUAUAAAGGUUUACAGUUUUAUAUGUAUUAAAUAAUACAUCUCUAUGAUAAAACAUGAAAUGUUUAAUUAAAACAACGACUAAAAGUAUGUAACUAUGUAAAUAUUACCUAAAUCCUGUGUGUAAAUGUUACAUAAACUGUUUCAUUUCUAGGGGUCACUGAAAACACUUUAAAAUUUUAUACAGUUUUCUACACUUCCCCCUCCCCUAGUUUUUAAUAUAAUUGCAGGUUUAAAGUUAAUCUGUCUAUUAGUUUUUUGAUAUUUGCCGUUGUGUUAAAUUUUACUGAGGAACAAUUUAGUUUGGGGAAACCAUUGAAUCUGUGGUUCAUGUUGUUUGAACAAGAAGUCCCUGAGUAUUUGUCCCAAAUACCAGCAUUUUUACUACACUGGCAGCUGUAUAUUUGUGGUCACCCGAUGGCAACAUAUGCAAAGAUUGUAUACAGUGGCAGUGCCUCUUCCAGAGAAUACCAUGAGGGAAACUGGAUGUGGCCGAUGCACACAUAAUUUGCUCUUCUAGGUGGAGGUAUCAUGUAGACAGCACUUAAAUGACACUUUUUAUUUCUGGAUAAGAUGAAGGUAAAAGAUAGAAACCAUUUGAAAGCCAUUGCUUAUGUCCCCUGAAACAGGCUGAAAAGAAUAGCUCCUCUGAGGCACAGCUUAAAACUGAACAUACACAGAGAUGUGUCAUUAGUAAUUCUGAAAAUGUGUUUACAGUGAUUAGAUAAAAUAUUUAGCCACCAUUUAAAUAUUUUAGUUCAUACGCAAAUUUUAGGUGUCUACUACACUUAACAUUUCCAAUAACUGGUUUCAUUAGGAUUUUUAGUGAUACAAAUUAAUAACAAAAGGCAGUAAUACAGAGUGCUGUUAUGAGGCCAAAAUACAUGUGGUUUAAAUUUGAAGAAUUAAAUGUUAGCAUUUCCCUAUAGAGAAAGGUUAUUUGGGCAGUGGUGUACUGACAUUAUCACCACCCACAGAGAAGGGGUCCUGUUAAUCCUAUUGGUUAAGUAGAAAUGCAAAAAAGGAAAAAUGUAGGUCUAGAGGGUUUGCUUGGUGUAAGUGAAUCACACGGGAGAAAUGCUGAUACCCAAAAUUGUCGUAGUGACUUUCUUAGAUGGUUAGAAAAAGAAAUAAGCAUGGGAUAUUUUUGUCAAGUUAGAGGGUUUUAGAUUGCUUGCUAGGUAAAAUCAGUCCUGGUUAUUAAUGUAGU
RNA transcript from Pipra filicauda (Wire-tailed manakin), 3571 nucleotides. RefSeq lists it as uncharacterized. The record is from RefSeq and is a predicted model, not a curated record. NCBI's taxonomy places the organism in Eukaryota, Metazoa, Chordata, Aves, Passeriformes, Pipridae. The transcript has 12 exons.